This 520-nucleotide ribosomal RNA is filed under the name uncultured Glomeraceae. RNAcentral's name for it is "SSU rRNA". It matches the Rfam family "Eukaryotic small subunit ribosomal RNA", at positions 569 to 1092 of the family's 1831-position model. The record is from RNAcentral. Lineage: Eukaryota; Fungi; Glomeromycota; Glomeromycetes; Glomerales; Glomeraceae.
AGCAGCCGCGGUAAUUCCAGCUCCAAUAGCGUAUAUUAAAGUUGUUGCAGUUAAAAAGCUCGUAGUUGAAUUUCGAGAUCAAAUUGUUGGUCGUGCCUUGGUACGUACUGACAUUAUUGGUUUCUCCCUUCUGAAGAACCAUGAUGUCAUUAAUUUGGUGUCAUGGGGAAUCAGGACUGUUACUUUGAAAAAAUUAGAGUGUUUAAAGCAGGCUCGCGCUUGAAUACAUUAGCAUGGAAUAAUGAAAUAGGACGUUUAAUUCUAUUUUGUUGGUUCUAGGAUUGACGUAAUGAUUAAUAGGGAUAGUUGGGGGCAUUAGUAUUCAAUUGUCAGAGGUGAAAUUCUUGGAUUUAUUGAAGACUAACUACUGCGAAAGCAUUUGCCAAGGAUGUUUUCAUUAAUCAAGAACGAAAGUUAGGGGAUCGAAGACGAUCAGAUACCGUCGUAGUCUUAACCAUAAACUAUGCCGACUAGGGAUCGGAUGAUGUUAAUUUUUUAAUGACUCAUUCGGCGCCUUACG